This 537-nucleotide ribosomal RNA is filed under the name uncultured bacterium. RNAcentral's name for it is "bacterial SSU rRNA". It matches the Rfam family "Bacterial small subunit ribosomal RNA", at positions 102 to 674 of the family's 1533-position model. The record is from RNAcentral.
ACGGGUGAGUAACGCGUGGGAAUCUACCGUGCCCUACGGAAUAGCUCCGGGAAACUGGAAGUAAUACCGUAUACGCCCUUUUGGGGAAAGAUUUAUCGGGGUAUGAUGAGCCCGCGUUGGAUUAGCUAGUUGGUGGGGUAAAGGCCUACCAAGGCGACGAUCCAUAGCUGGUCUGAGAGGAUGAUCAGCCACAUUGGGACUGAGACACGGCCCAAACUCCUACGGGAGGCAGCAGUGGGGAAUAUUGGACAAUGGGCGCAAGCCUGAUCCAGCCAUGCCGCGUGAGUGAUGAAGGUCUUAGGAUUGUAAAGCUCUUUCACCGAUGAAGAUAAUGACGGUAGUCGGAGAAGAAGCCCCGGCAAACUUCGUGCCAGCAGCCGCGGUAAUACGAAGGGGGCUAGCGUUGUUCGGAAUUACUGGGCGUAAAGCGCACGUAGGCGGAUAAUUAAGUCAGGGGUGAAAUCCCGCAGCUCAACUGCGGAACUGCCUUUGAUACUGGUUAUCUUGAGUAUGGAAGAGGUAAGUGGAAUUGCGAGU